AAAUUAUUUUCUCUUACAGAAUUUUUAUCCUGAAUCACCCAAAACUGUGAAAGGGUAAUUUCGGUAUUUCAAAUGAUAAAGUUGCAAGAAGAAAAAUGUAGGAGUGCAAGAAGAAACUCAUACUUUAUUACUUGUGUUAAUGGGUUGGGCUAGAUGACACUGGGUUGCCAAUUUAGAAAGGUCAUUUUCUUUCUCCACCUACCUAUACCUUCAUGCCUACUUUAUG
RNAcentral lists this long non-coding RNA (226 nucleotides) under Phaseolus vulgaris (common bean). Its description in RNAcentral is "long non-coding RNA (PVUL_LNC002967)". Lineage: Eukaryota; Viridiplantae; Streptophyta; Magnoliopsida; Fabales; Fabaceae. The record is from RNAcentral.